Molecule: long non-coding RNA, 961 nt
Filed under: Helianthus annuus (common sunflower)
Lineage: Eukaryota; Viridiplantae; Streptophyta; Magnoliopsida; Asterales; Asteraceae
Source: RNAcentral
UCGGAAUUCCAGAACACAAGAUUCACCAAAUCAAACUGCAUACGAAAUCAAGAAAUCAACUAAUUUCACUAACCUUAGGACCAAAUUCACAAAUGGGUUUCACUAUUUUACCUCUAGAAUCUCAAAUCGUGUAGAGGGGUUUAAAGUUGCAGCUAGCCAAGAGCUUUAAUUUGAUGUUCAGUCGACGAGUCUAUCAACAUUGGCUCUGCUCAUUACGUUUUCAAAAUUGAAGGCCAGGUUUACCAUUGGCCUGGUUCUUUUUAUCCAACACUGAAUGAAUGUCCUCGCUUAUUGCAAAUGUCUGUGUAUGAUACCGAGAAUGAGGUUUCUAAUAAACUACGCGUAUUCGCAAACGAUAAUUGGCGAUUGAAUUCUGGCAUUUUCACUUUGCUUACUCAAAUCCUUGAGAGUUGUAACGUCCUUGUCAAACAAUGGAACAAAUGCUAGAAAGAUCUUGCUACGACUUGGUAGUCAAGGAUGGAUAUACAUAUUCAAAAACCAUGCCUGCAGAUAUCUAUAAUAUAAGGAGAAAAGCUACACAUUUGGACACUUCAAUGAAAUAAGACGACUCAAUGGCAGUGCAGAAACCUAGAGUACCACUGAUUAUAAUCCCGACGACCCCAGAUCCAAAAAACAGCAACAACCGAAAGAAGAACACCGGUAUCGCCAGACAAUGAGACAACGGGAAACAAGCAAAGAAGUAAAAGGAUAGCAGGAAAGGCAACAUUUUGACAAGCCAAAAAACCGAAGAUGCAUCCAUGCUGAUUUUCCAGGUGCAAAAAAGGCUAAAAAAGCUAGCAGCCUUCACAAAAUCCAUCCCUUUUGCAACACACAUAGAGCAACAGUUGGCCACCGACACCCACCUCUUCCCAGAGGUACCGGGUUCGAGUCUUGGGAGUGGCAUAUGUCGCCCAGGGUAAGAAUUCGGCAUGGGGAAGUCACCGCGGAGCUAACUUGGUCG